ACUCAAAGGAAUAGACGGGGACCCGCACAAGCGGUGGAGCAUGUGGUUUAAUUCGACGCAACGCGAAGAACCUUACCUGGGCUAGAAUGCCUCUGACCUCCCUAGAGAUAGGGCUUCCUAGGGAAACCUAGGCAGAGUGCAAGGUGCUGCAUGGCUGUCGUCAGCUCGUGUCGUGAGAUGUUGGGUUAAGUCCCGCAACGAGCGCAACCCUUGUCAAUAGUUGCCAGCGGUUCGGCCGGGCACUCUAUUGAAACUGCCGUUGAUAAAACGGAGGAAGGUGGGGAUGACGUCAAGUCCUCAUGGCCUUUAUGUCCAGGGCUACACACGUGCUACAAUGGCAAGUACAAAGCGCUGCAAAAGAGCAAUCUGGAGCCAAUCGCAAAAAGCUUGUCUCAGUUCGGAUUGGAGUCUGCAACUCGACUCCAUGAAGUUGGAAUCGCUAGUAAUCGCAGAUCAGCACGCUGCGGUGAAUACGUUCCCGGGUCUUGUACACACCGCCCGU
Molecule: ribosomal RNA, 502 nt
Filed under: uncultured bacterium
Lineage: Bacteria
Description: partial 16S ribosomal RNA
Rfam family: Bacterial small subunit ribosomal RNA
Source: RNAcentral